RNAcentral lists this ribosomal RNA (454 nucleotides) under uncultured bacterium. RNAcentral describes it as "bacterial SSU rRNA". It matches the Rfam family "Bacterial small subunit ribosomal RNA", at positions 340 to 787 of the family's 1533-position model. The record is from RNAcentral.
UACGGAAGGCAGCAGUGGGGAAUAUUGCACAAUGGGCGCAAGCCUGAUGCAGCCAUGCCGCGUGUAUGAAGAAGGCCUUCGGGUUGUAAAGUACUUUCAGUCGUGAGGAAGGUGUUAAGGUUAAUAACCUUAGCAAUUGACGUUAGCGACAGAAGAAGCACCGGCUAACUCCGUGCCAGCAGCCGCGGUAAUACGGAGGGUGCGAGCGUUAAUCGGAAUUACUGGGCGUAAAGGGCACGCAGGCGGUUAAUUAAGUUGGAUGUGAAAUCCCCGGGCUUAACCUGGGAAUGGCAUUCAAGACUGGUUAGCUAGAGUCUUGUAGAGGGGGUAGAAUUCCAUGUGUAGCGGUGAAAUGCGUAGAGAUGUGGAGGAAUACCGGUGGCGAAGGCGGCCCCUGGACAAAGACUGACGCUCAUGUGCGAAAGCGUGGGGAGCAAACAGGGAUUAGAUUACC